UUGGGAGCUCUCCCAUAUGGUCGACCUGCAGGCGGCCGCGAAUUCACUAGUGAUUCGUAUUACCGCGGCUGCUGGCACGGAGUUAGCCGGAGCUUAUUCUCCCGGUACUGUCAUUAUCAUCCCGGGUAAAAGAGCUUUACAACCCUAAGGCCUUCAUCACUCACGCGGCAUUGCUGGAUCAGGCUUUCGCCCAUUGUCCAAUAUUCCCCACUGCUGCCUCCCGUAGGAGUCUGGGCCGUGUCUCAGUCCCAGUGUGGCUGAUCAUCCUCUCAGACCAGCUAAGGAUCGUCGCCUUGGUGCGCCUUUACCACACCAACUAGCUAAUCCUACGCGGGCUCAUCCUCAGGCGAUAAAUCUUUGAUCUCGCGAUAUCAUCCGGUAUUAGCAGCAAUUUCUCGCUGUUAUUCCGAACCUGAGGGCAGAUUCCCACGCGUUACGCACCCGUGCGCCACUAAGGCCGAAGCCUUCGUUCGACUUGCAUGUGUUAGGCAUGCCGCCAGCGUUCAUUCUGAGCCAUGAUCAAACUCUAAUCGAAUUCCCGCGGCCGCCAUGGCGGCCGGGAGCAUGCGACGUC
RNAcentral lists this ribosomal RNA (574 nucleotides) under uncultured Alphaproteobacteria bacterium. RNAcentral's name for it is "partial 16S ribosomal RNA". Lineage: Bacteria; Pseudomonadati; Pseudomonadota; Alphaproteobacteria. The record is from RNAcentral.